GACGAACGCUGGCGGCGUGCUUAACACAUGCAAGUCGGACGAAGAGCGAUGGAAGCUUGCUUCUAUCAAUCUUAGUGGCGAACGGGUGAGUAACGCGUAAUCAACCUGCCCUUCAGAGGGGGACAACAGUUGGAAACGACUGCUAAUACCGCAUACGAUCUAAUCUCGGCAUCGAGGAUAGAUGAAAGGUGGCCUCUACAUGUAAGCUAUCACUGAAGGAGGGGAUUGUGUCUGAUUAGCUAGUUGGAGGGGUAACGGCCCACCAAGGCGAUGAUCAGUAGCCGGUCUGAGAGGAUGAACGGCCACAUUGGGACUGAGACACGGCCCAGACUCCUACGGGAGGCAGCAGUGGGGAAUCUUCCGCAAUGGACGAAAGUCUGACGGAGCAACGCCGCGUGAGUGAUGACGGCCUUCGGGUUGUAAAGCUCUGUUAAUCGGGACGAAAGGCCUUCUUGCGAAUAGUGAGAAGGAUUGACGGUACCGGAAGAGAAAGCCACGGCUAACUACGUG
Molecule: ribosomal RNA, 510 nt
Filed under: uncultured bacterium
Lineage: Bacteria
Description: partial 16S ribosomal RNA
Rfam family: Bacterial small subunit ribosomal RNA
Source: RNAcentral